Molecule: long non-coding RNA, 314 nt
Organism: Drosophila eugracilis
Lineage: Eukaryota; Metazoa; Arthropoda; Insecta; Diptera; Drosophilidae
Exons: 2
Source: RefSeq, a predicted model, not a curated record
UCCGCCAGCUCGACGAUGAAGAGCUAUCUUUUAAUAUUAGUCUUUACUAUAUGGCUUGGGCAAGUUAUCGGUAAUAGGAAUCGUUUUUGCACCGUAGAGAAGAAGAAGCCUAGAUGUAGCUUGAACGGCAGACCAAGUCCCAUAUUCUUUCAGUACAAUGCAACUUUGAAUACAUGUCACACUAUCAGCAAUGCCUGUUCUAACUCAAUAAGAAAGUUCGCAUCGAAACCCCUUUGCGAGGCAUUCUGUGAGCAUUCUGAUAGUGCGAAAAACUGAAAUAUGUUUAAUUUCAAAUAAAAUGGAUUAAAGGAUUA